RNAcentral lists this non-coding RNA (31 nucleotides) under Rattus norvegicus (Norway rat). The record is from RNAcentral. Lineage: Eukaryota; Metazoa; Chordata; Mammalia; Rodentia; Muridae.
UACAUUUUCGAGCAGCUGACUCACAGAUGGU